GAAAUGCGAUAAGUAAUGUGAAUUGCAGAAUUCAGUGAAUCAUCGAAUCUUUGAACGCACCUUGCGCUCCUUGGUAUUCCUUGGAGCAUGCCUGUUUGAGUAUCAUGAAAUCUUCAAAGUAAAUCUUUUGUUAACUCAAUUGGUUUCUACUUUGGUAUUGGAGGUCUUUGCAGCUUCACACCUGCUCCUCUUUGUUCAUUAGCUGGAUCUCAGUGUUAUGCUUGGUUCCACUCGGCGUGAUAAGUUAUCUAUCGCUGAGGACACUGUAAAAGGUUGCCAAGGUAAAUUCAGAUGCACCGCUUCUAAUAGUCCAUUGACUUGGACAAUACUUUUAUGAUCUGAUCUCAAAUCAGGUAGGACUACCCGCUGAACUUAAGC
This 378-nucleotide unclassified non-coding RNA is filed under the name plant metagenome. RNAcentral describes it as "partial contains 5.8S ribosomal RNA, internal transcribed spacer 2, and large subunit ribosomal RNA". The stretch from base 1 to 105 matches the Rfam family "5.8S ribosomal RNA", at positions 50 to 154 of the family's 154-position model. The record is from RNAcentral.